UAUGUGAUCGUCUCUCGCAUAUCAAUAAGCGGAGGAAAAGAAACUAACAAGGAUUCCCCUAGUAACGGCGAGUGAAGCGGGAAGAGCUCAAAUUUGAAAUCUUAAAGGGUUUCCCUUUACGAAUUGUAGUUUAAAGAAGUGUUUUCUGUUGAGGUUUUGGUAAAAGUUCUUUGGAAUAGGACAUCAUAGAGGGUGAGAAUCCCGUAUUUGACCUUUACUUUCAACUUUGUGAUACACUUUCAAAGAGUCGGAUUGUUUGGGAAUGCAGUCCAAAAUGGGUGGUAAAUUUCAUCUAAAGCUAAAUAUUGGCGAGAGACCGAUAGCGAACAAGUACCGUGAGGGAAAGAUGAAAAGAACUUUGAAAAGAGAGUUAAACAGUACGUGAAAUUGUCAAAAGGGAAGCGUUUGACACCAGUGUUGUUUUUCUGAAAAUCAAUUAAAGAACUGUUUAUGCUAAGUUGUUUAGACUUUAUCAGCUAACUGUUUAGUUUUGAGCUUUUCUUUAAUGCACUUUUCAGUUAGCAAGUCAACAUCAAUUUCUUUUGCUGUAAAAAAGCUUGAGGAAGGUGGCUUGAGAUUCGUCUUAAGUGUUUAUAGCCUCUUGCCUAUGCAGUCGGAGAGAUUGAGGUCUGCAGCGUAGAUCCUUCGGGGCUAAAUGCAUUUGUGCUAAGUUAUAGCAUUUUAUAGACAACUUGUUGACUAUGAUUUGUCUUGUAGCUUACUCGCUUAUGUUAUUUUACCUACGCUUAGGAUGUUGACACACGCGCGUGCUCG
RNAcentral lists this ribosomal RNA (774 nucleotides) under uncultured Neocallimastigales. Its description in RNAcentral is "partial large subunit ribosomal RNA". It matches the Rfam family "Eukaryotic large subunit ribosomal RNA", at positions 24 to 656 of the family's 3401-position model. Lineage: Eukaryota; Fungi; Neocallimastigomycota; Neocallimastigomycetes; Neocallimastigales. The record is from RNAcentral.